Molecule: ribosomal RNA, 45 nt
Filed under: Pilatoporus ostreiformis
Lineage: Eukaryota; Fungi; Basidiomycota; Agaricomycetes; Polyporales; Fomitopsidaceae
Description: partial 28S ribosomal RNA
Source: RNAcentral
GACCUCAAAUCAGGUAGGAUUACCCGCUGAACUUAAGCAUAUCAU